UGGACUCGGCAGGGACUUGGUUCCCCCCCCCCCUCAAAUCUCUUGCCUCCCUCCAGGUCACCUCGCCUCGUUAUUUGCCCCGUAACGGGGGGCGAGAGGAAAUCGAGGGGCGUCCAGGGAAAAACAACCGCAAAACUUUUUGCUUCGUUCUCUCUCCUGAAUCCCCACUUCCGGGGCUAUUCUGUCUCGGGUUUCCUUCCUCGGCUUCUUAUGCCAUUAUAACAAACGUGACAUACCGGACAUCCAAUACAAUUAAAAGGGAAGUUACUUCUCUUUGGAGGAAAAGAAAACUGAGUUACCUCCAUGGAAGACACUCAGGAUUUAAAUGAACAGUCAGUGAAGAAAGCGUGCACAGAUUCGGAUGUUUCAGAACCUCAGAAUUCCAGAUCUAUGGAAAUGCAGGAUCUAGCAAGCCCUCAUAAUCUUGUGGGAAGCAGUGAAACACCUGGUAGUUCUAAACUGGACAAAUCUAAUCUUAGCAGCACAUCUGUUACAACAAAUGGAACAGGCGGAGACAACAUGACUGUUUUAAACACUGCAGACUGGUUACUGAGUUGCAGCACUCCCUCUUCUGCAACAAUGUCUCUCCUUGCAGUCAAAACAGAACCUAUGAACAGUAAUGAAUCAACAGCAACAACAAGUGGAGAUGGAUCUCUUGACACGUUUACUGGGUCAGUAAUAACAAGUAGUGGCUACAGUCCAAGAUCAUCACAUCAGUAUUCGCCUCAGCUAUAUUCUUCCAAGCCCUAUCCACAUAUUCUUUCUACUCCAGCAGCACAGACAAUGUCUGCCUAUGCCAGUCAGACCCAGUAUUCAGGAAUGCAGCAGCCAGCAGUGUAUACAGCCUAUUCACAGACUGGGCAACCUUACAGUUUACCCACUUACGAUUUGGGUGUAAUGUUGCCAGGCAUCAAGACAGAAAGCGGACUUUCACAAACGCAAUCACCCUUGCAGUCCGGGUGCCUUAGUUACAGCCCAGGGUUCUCCACACCACAGCCAGGCCAGACACCAUAUUCAUACCAAAUGCCAGGUUCUAGUUUUACACCAUCCUCCACUAUUUAUGCAAACAAUUCAGUCUCAAAUUCUACAAACUUCAGUAGUUCACAACAGGAUUAUCCAUCAUAUACAGCUUUUGGCCAAAACCAAUAUCCACAGUAUUAUUCAACAUCAACAUAUGGAACAUAUAUGACCUCAAACAACACCACAGAUGGUACCUCUUCUUCAUCAUCAACGUACCAGCUCCAGGAAUCUCUCCCUGGGCUGACUAGUCAACCAAGCACAGAUCUUCAUCCAGGAGAGUUUGACACUGUACAGAGCCCUUCAACACCAAUCAAAGAUCUGGAUGAAAGGACGUGUAGGAGUUCUGGGUCAAAAUCAAGGGGCAGAGGACGGAAAAAUAACCCAUCACCCCCUCCUGACAGUGACUUGGAGCGCGUAUUUGUGUGGGAUUUGGAUGAAACUAUCAUUGUCUUCCAUUCACUUCUUACAGGAUCUUAUGCACAAAAAUAUGGAAAGGAUCCACCUGUGGCAGUGACUCUUGGACUUCGAAUGGAAGAAAUGAUUUUUAAUCUUGCAGAUACACAUUUAUUUUUCAAUGACUUAGAGGAAUGUGAUCAAGUACAUAUAGAUGACGUUUCUUCAGAUGACAAUGGACAAGACCUAAGUACCUACAGUUUUGCAACUGAUGGCUUCCAUGCAGCUGCAAGUAGUGCAAACCUUUGUCUGCCAACAGGUGUAAGAGGAGGAGUUGACUGGAUGAGGAAGCUGGCAUUCCGUUACAGAAGAGUAAAAGAAUUAUAUAAUACUUACAAGAACAAUGUAGGAGGACUUCUUGGCCCUGCAAAAAGAGAUGCAUGGCUGCAGUUAAGAGCAGAGAUUGAAGCUCUCACUGACUCCUGGCUAACAAAUGCACUUAAAUCACUAUCAAUUAUUAGCACAAGGAGUAACUGUGUAAAUGUUUUGGUAACAACAACCCAACUUAUACCGGCCCUUGCAAAAGUCCUGCUGUAUAGUUUAGGAGGUGCAUUUCCUAUUGAAAAUAUUUACAGUGCAACUAAAAUAGGAAAAGAAAGCUGUUUUGAGCGUAUAGUGUCCAGGUUUGGCACUAACAUAACUUAUGUUGUGAUUGGAGAUGGCCGAGAUGAGGAGCAUGCAGCUAACCAGGUAAUUUCUCUCAACUGUAUCUCAUUUAUCUUCCAGGAAAAGAAAGUUGCUUUGAACGAAUAAUGCAAAGGUUUGGCAGAAAAGUAGUAUAUGUUGUAAUUGGGGAUGGUGUAGAAGAAGAACAGGCAGCAAAAAAGCACAACAUGCCUUUCUGGAGGAUAUCUAGUCACUCGGACCUCCUGGCUCUACACCAAGCGCUGGAAUUAGAGUAUUUGUAACUGUUGUCACAUAGUUGACAAAUACUUUUUAUAUUUCAAAGUACACUGAUAUUUUUUAUGUGUGAUCCAGUGCCUCUGGCUUUUACACAUAUGUAUGGUCUUAAGAAGGAAAAGCAAUAUUUGGAAUAAAAAUUCCAUUGUGAAGAAUUCAGAUCACUGAUUGGUGGAGUUACAAGUUUUAAUUCUACAUAAGGAUGCUCUACAUGGUCUUAUACACUCAACAUUUUUGAUGAUUAAAGAACUAUAAAAGAAGGUUGCUGGUACAUACCAAAUGAGCCCUAGCCAGAGUGAACAGCUUUUGCAAUGGACUCAGACUGGGAAAGCAAUGAUACACGUUUUCUGAUCGACAAGGGUGGUAUUCAACAACAUUCCUCACUAUGGGAUAUAUUCUCACCACUGAGGUUUGAAUCAAACUUUAGUCUACCUAACCCAAAAAAUCUGAAUUGGAAUGUACUCAAACUGUGCAUUGACAAUCCUGUCUAGAUCUGUAAUAUGUGUAAAUUAUUGAUGAAAAUAAUUUACUGUGACUUUAUUAGCAGCUGACUUUGGAAGUGGAUGCAAUUUCUUUCAUUUUGGAGGUGUGUGGGAUGGGGGUAUAUAUUAAUUAUUAUUGUCUCUUUUAUAAGUUUGGCAAACAGAAUGUGCGUAAUGAUGUGUUGUGCCUUAAAAGACAAGAUCUUGUUUGUGUGUUACAAUGUAACAUUGGUUUAAAAUAAUGUAGAUAAAAGAAAUAAACCUUUGUGAUAAUUUUUGACAUGACCAAAUUUCAAAUUCAAAUAAUCAAAAGACAAGGGUGUGAAUCAAAAGCACUUAAAAGUUUGUUGCAGUAAGGGGUGGGGGAAGUAUAAUAAUUGACAGCUGGUGCUUUUAUUUAGUUUCUUAAUAAUUCCACAGAUUGCAGGAGGCAAGUAACUUAAGAGAAUGUCAAGAGGCUGAAAUGAUAUUGGGCACUGUGGGAUUAAUAAUUAAAAUGGCUGAUUACUUGA
Molecule: RNA transcript, 3367 nt
Organism: Lacerta agilis (Sand lizard)
Lineage: Eukaryota; Metazoa; Chordata; Lepidosauria; Squamata; Lacertidae
Gene: EYA4
Gene name: EYA transcriptional coactivator and phosphatase 4
Exons: 20
Source: RefSeq, a predicted model, not a curated record